AGUGAACGCUGGCGGUAGGCCUAACACAUGCAGGCCGAACGGCAGCACAGUAAGAGCUUGCUCUUACGGGUGGCGAGUGGCGGACGGGUGAGGAAUACAUCGGAAUCUACUUUUUCGUGGGGGAUAACGUAGGGAAACUUACGCUAAUACCGCAUACGACCUACGUGUGAAAGCAGGGGAUCUUCGGACCUUGCGCGAUUGAAUGAGCCGAUGUCGGAUUAGCUAGUUGGCGGGGUAAAGGCCCACCAAGGCGACGAUCCGUAGCUGGUCUGAGAGGAUGAUCAGCCACACUGGAACUGAGACACGGUCCAGACUCCUACGGGAGGCAGCAGUGGGGAAUAUUGGACAAAGGGCGCAAGCCUGAUCCAGCCAUACCGCGUGGGUGAAGAAGGCCUUCGGGUUGUAAAGCCCUUUUGUUGGGAAAGAAAAGCAGCAGGUUAAUACCCCGCUGUUCUGACGGUACCCAAAGAAUAAGCACCGGCUAACUUCGUG
Molecule: ribosomal RNA, 492 nt
Filed under: uncultured bacterium
Lineage: Bacteria
Description: partial 16S ribosomal RNA
Rfam family: Bacterial small subunit ribosomal RNA
Source: RNAcentral